AGAUUGAACGCUGGCGGCAGGCCUAACACAUGCAAGUCGAGCGGUAGAGAGGUGCUUGCACCUCUUGAGAGCGGCGGACGGGUGAGUAAUGCCUAGGAAUCUGCCUAGUGGUGGGGGAUAACGUUCGGAAACGGACGCUAAUACCGCAUACGUCCUACGGGAGAAAGCGGGGGACCUUCGGGCCUCGCGCCAUUAGAUGAGCCUAGGUCGGUUAGCUAGUUGGUGAGGUAAUGGCUCACCAAGGCGACGAUCCGUAACUGGUACUGAGAGGAUGAUCAGUCACACUGGAACUGAGACACGGUCCAGACUCCUACGGGAGGCAGCAGUGGGGAAUA
This 335-nucleotide ribosomal RNA is filed under the name uncultured soil bacterium. Its description in RNAcentral is "bacterial SSU rRNA". It matches the Rfam family "Bacterial small subunit ribosomal RNA", at positions 26 to 363 of the family's 1533-position model. The record is from RNAcentral.